RNAcentral lists this ribosomal RNA (331 nucleotides) under uncultured Actinomycetes bacterium. RNAcentral describes it as "bacterial SSU rRNA". It matches the Rfam family "Bacterial small subunit ribosomal RNA", at positions 28 to 351 of the family's 1533-position model. The record is from RNAcentral. Lineage: Bacteria; Bacillati; Actinomycetota; Actinomycetes.
GACGAACGCUGGCGGCGUGCUUAACACAUGCAAGUCGAACGAGGUCCAAUCGAUCGCAAGAGAGAUGAAGACCUAGUGGCGAACGGGUGCGUAACACGUGAGAAACCUAUCCUAGUCUCUGGAAUAACAGGUGGAAACACCCGCUAAUACCGGAUGCCGUUGGAGCGUCGCAUGACGCAUGAACGAAAGAUUUAUCGGUCUGGGAGGGUCUCGCGGCCUAUCAGCUAGUUGGUGAGGUAACGGCUCACCAAGGCUUCGACGGGUAGCUGGUCUGAGAGGAUGAUCAGCCACACUGGGACUGAGACACGGCCCAGACUCCUACGGGAGGCUG